AGCUUUGAAAAAAUGGCAGUAUCACAGACAAUGAAGUUUAUCCAAGGCACAAUUAUUGUUAAUUGAAAACUUUACCCAAAUACUCUUAACAGUUAUAGUUGGUGUGGUAAUUUUAGUCAGUUGUGAGCUGC
Molecule: small nuclear RNA, 131 nt
Organism: Cricetulus griseus (Chinese hamster)
Lineage: Eukaryota; Metazoa; Chordata; Mammalia; Rodentia; Cricetidae
Gene: U4
Rfam family: U4 spliceosomal RNA
About the family: U4 small nuclear RNA (U4 snRNA) is a component of the major U2-dependent spliceosome. The structure of U4 snRNA from yeast and human has been reported.
Source: Ensembl